Molecule: long non-coding RNA, 5180 nt
Organism: Cyprinus carpio carpio
Lineage: Eukaryota; Metazoa; Chordata; Actinopteri; Cypriniformes; Cyprinidae
Source: Ensembl
ACUUAACACAGGUCUAUUAUAUGUGCGACUUGAUAAAAGAAGAAGGACAUUGUGUUUCUGCCAGGCUUUUGAGAACAAUUCGGUGCAUAUGAUCCUGAUGUACUGUACCAGAACACAAGAAGGGUCACACACAAUAAAUGAAUGAAUGGAUAAGUUGUUUGGACUCUCAUUUUGAUGGCACCCAUUCACUGCUGAUGAUCCAUUUGUGAGCAAGUGGUGCAAUGCCAAAUUUCUCCAAAUCUGUUCUGAUGAAGAUACAAACUCAUCUACACAUUGGAUAGCCUCUCAUAAACACAGAAAACCUGAAGCUGUGGACAUCUUGGAUGAGGAUAUAGCAUCACCAGAGGCUGGAUCAGUUCAGGAAAGCAGGAUCAGUGAUCCUGCAGUUCCACAGAUGCAGAAGAGGCCGCAGAUGCGUGAUGGCAGUGGAGAUUUGGCUGUCAGUGGAGACUGCAGCUGAAUUGAUGAGCGAGGCCGGUGAGGGAGCGGUGAAGAGCGCCUGCUGCUGCUGUCUGUGGUGUUGAAUGAACGACAGUAGGGUUUAAUGGGCAUCUCUCAUUUCUCUCAGCUGUCAUGAUACAAACAGCCACAAGCAAUAGCACCAGCUGUGUAACCUCACAACCAACAGUCAUACAUGAAUAAAAGAACAUUCACUACAUUAUAUAUAAAAAAAGAAUAAACCUCAAGGAAACAAUUCAUUUAAAGGGAUACUCCAUCGCAAAAUGAAAAUUGUGUCAUUAUUCACUUACCCCCAUGUUGUUCCAAACCUGUUUGUUCGUCUUCGGAACACAAUUUAAGAUAUUUUGGAUGAAAACCAGUAGGCUUGAGACUGUCCCAUAGACUGCCAAAUAAAUAACAGUGUCAAGGUCCAGGAAAGUAUGAAAAGCAUCGUCAGAAUAGUCCAUGGUUAUGUGUAUUUAUGCUUUGGUUCGAAUGAAAGCAGCGCAUCGGCGCAGCGCUGCUGACACAGCAAAGCGUCUGCCGUCUGCAUACUGCUCAGAAUUUCCAAAAUGGUGCUACACUGAUUUGGUGAUUAAUGACAAAAUUUUCCUUUAAGAUUUAGAGGCAUAAAGUACAAUAAUAAUAAUAAUAAUAGUAAUAAUAAUAAUAAUAAUAAUAGGAAAUGUUUAAACAUUUUAACUAAGAUUUAAAUGUUAACAUACUUUAAUAUAUAUUAAUAUAUAUAGAAUUUAUCCCUGUGACAGUAACACUGAAUUUCAAACAGCCAUUAUUCCAGUCUUCAUGAACAGUCUGCAGACACAUUAUUUAUGUAUUUAUUAUUAUUAUUAUUAUUAUUAUUAUUAUUAUUAUUAUUAUCUUUUUAUCUAUUUUUUUAAUGGUAGUACACAAAUUACAAAUGUUCCUCAGACAUCACGUUGCAUCAAUCACACAAAACAAAAAUGUUAAAUGUUAAGAGAUUAAAUGUUAACGCUAAAAACAAAAGCUUAAACAUAUACAACAGUGAUUUGAACACAGAUCCCAAUUUAAAAUCUGUGCACUACUUGAAACAUGACUUGUAUCAACAUUUAACUAUUCUGAACAACCUGGAGUUUUGCUAAUGAUAUAAAAGCGACGUGACAUACAGUACAGCCAAGUAUGGUGACCCACACUCAGAAUUUGUGCUCUGCAUUUAACCCAUCCAAAGUGCACACACACAGCAGUAAACGCGCACACACACACACACACACACACACACACAGGGAGCAGUGGGCACCCAUUUAUGCUGCUGCGCCCGGGGAGCAGUUGGGGGUUCGUUGCCAUGCUCAAGGGCACCUCAGUCGUGGUAUUGCCGGCCCGAGACUCGAACCCACAACCUUAGGAUUAGGAGUCAAACUCUCUAACCACUAGGCCAUGACUUCCCCUAUGACAAAUACAAAUAUGGCUCACAUCUGAAAGGGUAUGAAGCCAUUAUAGUCACAUAAUAUUAUCAAAAAGCUGUUAAAAAAGUACAAAAUAAAGAAAUCAUGCAUUUUUGUCACAACAAUGUCUCAUUAAUUUGAAUUUCAGUGUUUUGAGAUUAGAACAACUUGAACAUACAGUGUGCGACUCUGUAAAAUGAGAGAACUGUUUACGGGCCUGAAUAUUUAUGCAGAAAUUUUCUAGGACACCAGUACAUACCGUGCAUUCUCUUGACUUUAAUUGGAGUCCUUGAGAAGACAAAGGAAAGAAAGAGGAAAAAAAACAUCUAGCGUGAACAGUUGGUUGUGUAACAGCGGAGCCGAUGAUGCGCGGGCCUAUAAAUACAGACUGGCAGCAGGAGCGCAUUGUGGGCCAGUGUUUCCCCUCAGCCCACUCGGCUUUGUUUAUUCCCAACCGCCUGGCUUGUUAUGCCUCUGCACAGCUUUGACAUUGGCAGAGAAAUCAGGAAACACAAUGCACAGCACCAACUCCCUCACGGACUUUGACCGAUGCCUCCCUUGCUGUAUGUGUGACUCCCUCGUACAAGAAAACAAAUGAUCAAUUUGCCAUACAUCAGCCAUUUUAUUGGCAGGUACAGUUGCAAUGCUUUCCAGUACGGUAACCACAGAAUAAUAAAUGUUUCCUCUGUGUGAGAUGAUGCAAUGAUUAAUGUAGCUGCCCUGUCCUGUAUAUAAUUUCACCUGGUAGCCUAGAGCUAAUGUCACCGGCAACACCUCCGCUGUCAUUUGUUCUUAAUAAGAAUCCAGCUCAGCUCAGUUGUCAACCAAUCCAAUUCACUCUCGGCUUAAUAGUUAAGGUAUCGCCUGGAGAAGUUGAAGGGGAAGACGCAAAAGAUAAACACAUAUAAUGUAUAAAUGUAUAUAAUAAGGAGAAAGAGACAGGAAGAGUUGGGUCUCAUCUAAAUUGUUAGAUAAUGCAUUUGAAUGAGUUGCAUGUAUCUAGCCUUUCCGGAGAAUUCCGCCAUGCAUUUUCUAAGCUUCUAAUGAAACAAUAUAUCACCUUCUCUACCCACGUUCCUCAGCCUGGGUGCGGGCUUGCUAACACUUCGGCUUUCAUCUUCUAGAUGUGGGUGAUAUUAUUCAUAAAGUGUAAAAAUCAACUCUUCAGCUAUUUACUGCAAGCCCAAAAAACGGAGAGCAGAAAACGGAAGCCCAGGGGAGAAAGUCACUAAGACCAACCAUAUCAGCACUGUGUCAGAAAAUACAAUUGGUUUCGAACAAGCUAGUUUACUCAAAAAUACAAAUUCUGUCAGCUGUCACUCACCCUGGUGUUGUUUUAAAAUGGUUUUGAGUUCUGUGAAGAAAAAAAAAAAGGAGAUAUUUAGCAGAAUGUCCAAGCUGCUGUUUUCCGUACAUUUAAAGUAAAUUGAGACUAUGGCAGUCUAUGACCCCAGGAAUUGGAAGGAAUGUAACAAUUCAAGUUCCUUAACAGUUCUAUUUAAUGAUUCUUUUCAGCUUCAGGAUAUAAAAAGGGAGGAAAACAAUAUGUAACAGGGAGAUGAAUGGGUUCAAGACUACACUUCCCAUAAGUCCGUGGGGUAAAUUAAUUACAUCUGCACCUGCUAUAAAUAGAUUCACAGUAGUAUAGUUUUCUCUCAUCUCAUUCAUCGUUAUUUCAAACAAGAGUGUGCAAAGAUCAGGUAAUUUGUGCUCAACUGUGUUUUAAUAGUGAUUUUGUUUUUUUUGUUUUUUUGAUGAAUUUAUUUAAAUCACGAGAGCUGUUUCUGUUUAAGCAAAGACGUUGUCAAGUUGUUUUAUGCUGUACAUGUUUAGAGUAAUUUGUGUGUUAGGUCAUCAUUUAAUUAAAGGUAGGUAGAAAGUAUUUUCAUUUAUGGGUUUUUAUUAUGAGGAAGGUAGUAAACUAUGAGGGGUAAGAAAAAAAGUGGUUUUAUUUUGCUUUUUCAGAAUCCUGCUUGUAUUACUGGUGAUUGGCCUGGCAACACAGUCUUCAGAAUUAAUGAAUGAUGUGUGAGUGAAUAAUGUUCAAAAGGUACUAAGAAUUGAGUUUUCUCAUGAAAAUUUAUGAAGAUGGUGGUUUUCAUAAAGAUUUGUUUUACAGGUCUCUUAAAGGAGAACCAUCCGGUUGGUUUUUAAAUUCCUCUUUCUUAGAUCCAGUUGUUUUAAAAGGUAUUUGAUCGGAAUAAAGAAUUUAUGUAAAUGCUCAAUUCAAGGUACUUACAAUAAUCUUUUGUGUUGCAGGACUAGCACGACUAUUGUCCAGUGCUCUUUUUGUAUACAGUGUGUAUUAUUAUUAUUAUUAUUUUUUUUUUUUAAGUUGUCCUUCCUGACUUAAUGGCAGCUGCAGGGUAUCCUCCAUGGGUGUGACUGGCACUGUAUGUCUGAAGAUUUGCAGCAAGAAUUAAUGGACCUGUGUGAACAGCUGCCUAGUUUGCAAGCAUUGAAUGAUCAGCUGAGAAGUCGAGCAUCACCAUCCAGUGGACAUGUUUCAAAUCCUUCUGCCUCCACUAAUUUCAAUACUCCUCCAAUGUCUCUUAACAGGGUGCUGUAUGUUCUUAGAGGGAGAAAGUGCCCACGUUUCUAUGGACAUUCUGAUUCAUCAACUAAUAACUGGCCACAAACUGUAGUGAAACCUUUAUCACUUGUACAAGCAGUUUUAUUACAAUUCACAGAUACCAGCGUUCACAUAAAAUAAAUAUCCAAAACCACAUCCAAAGACCAACCUCAUUCAAGGAAAAAGAAUAACACCUUUGACACGCCACAGGGCACAACUAUCAGUGAGAAAAUAUACAACCACCAAUUGAAAUUCAAACCCCAAUGCAGCACAGCACUCGAAAGGAAAUACGGAUCACUAGAAACCACAGAAGAAUCCCCACCACCUCACCAGUGCCAGUCACACCCAUGGAGGAUACCCUGCAGCCACCAAUAAGUCAGAAAGGAGGCCAAUUUAAAAAAAAAGAUUAUUGUAAGUACCUUGAAUUGAGCAUUAAAUUCUUUAUUCCAAUCAAAUACCUUUUAAAAUAACUGGAUCUAAGAAAGAGGAAUUAAAAACCAACCGGAUGGUUCUCCUUCAAGAGACCUAUAAAACAAACCUUUAUGAAACACACCAUCUUCAUAAAUGUUCAUAAAUGUUCAUGUUCAUGCACACUCUUGUUUGUAACAUUGAUAGAUGAAUGAGAUGAGAGAAGCUAUACUACUGUGAAUCUAUUUAUAGCAGGUGCAGAUGUAAUUAAGCUACCCCACCGACUUAUGGGAAGUGUAGUCCCGAACUCAUUCAUCACCCUGUUGCCAUCACAAAUCUAG